GGCGUGCCUAAUACUUGCAAGUCGAGCGGACAGAUGGGAGCUUGCUCCCUGAUGUUAGCGGCGGACGGGUGAGUAACACGUGGGUAACCUGCCUGUAAGACUGGGAUAACUCCGGGAAACCGGGGCUAAUACCGGAUGUUUGUUUGAACCGCAUGGUUCAAACAUAAAAGGUGGCUUCGGCUACCACUUACAGAUGGACCCGCGGCGCAUUAGCUAGUUGGUGAGGUAACGGCUCACCAAGGCGACGAUGCGUAGCCGACCUGAGAGGGUGAUCGGCCACACUGGGACUGAGACACGGCCCAAACUCCUACGGGAGGCAGCAGUAGGGAAUCUUCCGCAAUGGACAAAAUUCUGACGGAGCAACGCCGCGUGAGUGAUGAAUGUUUUCGGAUCGUAAAGCUCUGUUGUUAGGGAAAAACAAGUGCCGUUCAAAUAAGGCGGCACCUUGACGGUACCUAACCAAAAAGCCACGGCUAACUAC
Molecule: ribosomal RNA, 481 nt
Filed under: Bacillus amyloliquefaciens
Lineage: Bacteria; Bacillati; Bacillota; Bacilli; Caryophanales; Bacillaceae
Description: bacterial SSU rRNA
Rfam family: Bacterial small subunit ribosomal RNA
Source: RNAcentral